Monomorium pharaonis (pharaoh ant) is the source of this 347-nucleotide long non-coding RNA. RefSeq lists it as uncharacterized. Lineage: Eukaryota; Metazoa; Arthropoda; Insecta; Hymenoptera; Formicidae. The transcript is spliced from 2 exons. The record is from RefSeq and is a predicted model, not a curated record.
UUCGACUGAUGUCUUGAACGUGCACGAUACUUUCACAAAAACGGCCACUAAAAAGCUAGAUCAAUUCAAAUCUAUUGGUCUUCUAUCGGUCCAACCACGUGGAUGAAACGUGUCACCGUUAGAUAACCAGAAUUUUCUCUAAAUAACCUCUAAGUUAUGCCGUACACGAGACUCUGUGGCAAAAAUUAUGUUUUCCUUUUUAAAUAAAACCAUAACAUUUUGGCAUAAACUGUUUUUGUUCGUUCGUACAUGAAAGUUUUGAGGUCGCAAAGUACCUUAUGCAAAUAAAACAUUUGAUAUUUCAUUCUGAUUUACGAUUUAAGAAAAUAAUAUUUUACUUAUAAAAA